Molecule: small nucleolar RNA, 138 nt
Organism: Tachyglossus aculeatus (Australian echidna)
Lineage: Eukaryota; Metazoa; Chordata; Mammalia; Monotremata; Tachyglossidae
Source: RefSeq, a predicted model, not a curated record
UCACUCUCAAGGUCGCACCUGGAGAGUUUCAGGUACUCUACCGGUCUCGGCUAUGGGAGGGAGAGUCAAGCAGAGGCAUACCCAUUCCAUUCCAAGCCUGGCCAGUGGCUAAUGAGUGGAAGAUAAUCUGCUACAUGU